UUCUUCACACUGUGCUUGGUGAAGUAGAAACGACUGGUCCACGGGAUGUUGACAGAAUAGAAUCUACACUUUAGAAUUUUUUUGUCGACCGUUUUCUUUUGGCAGUUUGUCUUUACGUCGGUAAUCCCCAUCUUCAUCGCCUACACAUUAUCUCCAGUCUUUGGUACCAGUGAUUGUUUUCUCUACCCGCCGUACAGUGCGUUAUUAACAAAAUGAAGGCUACUGCUCCCGUCCGCCCCCAGAAGGAUACCUCAAGCAGCAGCAACGAGCUUUCUUUACACUAUCUCUCGGAUCACAGCCUGAACAUCGCCCGGUGUAGGGCGGAGGAAGAAGAGCAGCUGUGUCUGCAGGACGAUAUGAACCACUGUUACAGUCGCCUCAAGCGCCUCGUACCCACAAUACCUCGGGAUAAGAAAGUCAGCAAGGUGGAGAUCCUUCAGCAUGUCAUAGAUUACAUCUUGGACCUGCAGCUCGCCUUAGAGACGCACCCUUCUCUCCUGAAACAACAGACGGGGACCGUGACCGGGACCGGGACCGUGACCGGGACAUGCCCGCCGUCCCCCGCCUCUCAUCGGACACCUCUAACCGUUCUCAACAUAGACCACCAGAGGAUGUCAACAGGCAAAAAGGAGGACUCCGUUUUGUGUCGCUGAGAAAUGGCCAAUGGUGUGCAGAGCGGUGCGGUGCACAGAGCAGGGAGCAGAGCUGAGAGCAGAGCAGAGCAGGGGAGAGCUGCUCCAGUCCACAGCCAGCACAGCCUCAGCCUCCAGCCAGGGAAUCUCAGCCAGCCACAGGAAGCUUUAUCACACAGGGGAUCCCCCCGCUGGAGAACCUACUACUGGCAAAUCAAGCCCUAUUUAUAACACAUUUAUUAGAAACAAACAAAAGACUGCUAUGUCCAACAGACCCCUAACUCUCCAUACCUUCACUUUAUAUGUGAAAUACAAUUAGAAUCUAAAAGGGUGAAUGAAGAAUCCCUUGUUGUGAGGUCAUGCUGGAAACUCGAGCUUGUUGAACGUCAAAUACCAGUUUAUAAAAUGUGACAAAUACCGGUUUAUAAAAUAAAAAUAACUAAACCUACAGUGUGAAACUUUACUAAACAGGAAAAUAAUUGUACGUGUUUUCCAUGAGAUAAACAUGUUUCAUAUUGUAAAGAGGAACAAAUGACUGGAGACAAUUAAGAUUGUCUAUGUAGAAACAGAUGCUCUAUGUGGAAGAACAUAUCUAUUAUGCUCAAAUAGACUAUUGUAAUUAUAAGAUAUUUUUAUUAAAACCUUUUGUUAUGUAAAUAAUGUGUUUUCACUUUGAAGUGGAUGAAAUAAUAAUAAAUCAAGAUGUUGUGUUGAUAGACUCUUCACAUCACAUCAGUUCAUUUUGCAGUGUUAUAUUUCAACGUAUUGUUUCAGUUCUAUUGCAAUGUUAUAGGUUUAACAAGCAUGUAGCAUGUAAAGGCCUCACUCAAAGCUGGAAGAGCAGACUAAAAUGUGUACUAAAACUAUUUGGUAAAGUCUAAAUUCCCUUGUUUUAUAUUGCCUUCAAUUGUUUUUCCUCUUGUAUUUAUUUAAUUUAGGAAUUUGAAAUGUUGACGUUUUGGGCAAUUUUAACCAAUGUGAAAACCAGACUUUAGAUGUCUGAUUUGAUUUGAUUGUUGAUGAUUUGAUAACAUUUGGCUGUAACUGUUGGAGAAGAAGAAUAGAUGCUAUGGCUGGAGCUUGUUCUGAGGACUAGAAGGACCAAACUAACCUCCAAUCACUGCAUCAGAUUGUUCUGAGGACUAGAAGGACCAAACUAACCUCCAAUCACUGCAUCAGAUUGUUCUGAGGACUGGAAGGACCAAACUAACCUCCAAUCACUGCAUCAGAUUGUUCUGAGGACUAGAAGGACCAAACUAACCUCCAAUCACUGCAUCAGAUUGUUCUGAGGACUGGAAGGACCAAAGUAACCUCCAAUCACUGCAUCAGAUUGUUCUGAGGACUGGAAGGACCAAACUAACCUCCAAUCACUGCAUCAGAUUGUUCUGAGGACUAGAAGGACCAAAGUAACCUCCAAUCACUGCAUCAGAUUGCUGUGCUAUCCCUGUAAGGAUUUUCAUGGUGAAUUAUACCUCUGAGCCACGGUCUGUGUGAGAGGACAGCUGUCCAGUAUUUACUGUGUUGCACUGUUGGACAACAUGACCUUCACGUGAUGGAGAGGAAGAGUUGUCAUAACAUUAAAGGGUUUCCAGUCACACUUCA
RNA transcript from Coregonus clupeaformis (lake whitefish), 2234 nucleotides. RefSeq lists it as uncharacterized. Lineage: Eukaryota; Metazoa; Chordata; Actinopteri; Salmoniformes; Salmonidae. The record is from RefSeq and is a predicted model, not a curated record. The transcript is spliced from 3 exons.